Phasianus colchicus (ring-necked pheasant) is the source of this 1621-nucleotide non-coding RNA. The record is from RefSeq and is a predicted model, not a curated record. Lineage: Eukaryota; Metazoa; Chordata; Aves; Galliformes; Phasianidae.
UGCCAUAGAGCUCCAUUGUGACUCCAUAAAAGUUCCACUCUUAUACCAUAAUAGCUCCAUUAUGACCCCAUAGAUCUCCAUAUUGACCCCGUAAAAGUUCACUUAUGACCGUAUGGAGCACCAGAGUGAGCUCAUGACAGUUCCAUUAUGACCCCAUAAGAGCUCCGUGGUGACCGCAUAACAGUUGCAUUUAAACCUCUUAUAGCUCAGUAGUGACUCUAUGACAUUGCCAUUGUGACCCCAUGGAGCCCCAGUGUUACCCCAUAACAGCUUCUUUAUGAUGCCGUAGAGCUUCAUCGUUUUCCUAUAGGAUCUCCAUAAUAACCUCAUGGAACCAUAGAUUUUCCAUAACAUUUCCAUAACUAUUAUGACCCCUUAGAGCUGCAUAGUGACCCCUGAAGAGCUCCUUAAUGACGCUAUAUAGAUUUCAUUCUGACCCCAUAACAGCUGCGUUAUGACCCCUCAAGUGUUCCUAUAGUGAUUCCAUAACGGCUCCAUAGUGACGUCGUACCAGUGCUAUUGUAACCCCAUAGAGCUUCAUAUGGCUUCAUGGCCCCAUAGGGCUGCACAGGGCGCUGUAUCUGUCUAGGUUUGCACGUCUGCUGGACCGAAGGUGUUCUGAGCAGCACUGCAGGCAGCAGGAGGUUGAAAGCCUUCAAGGCCGCCUUGCUGGAGGUCUUCAAGUCUUCCCACGCUCAGUCUGUGGGCCUGAAGAACGUGAUGGAGGCCAUCAACCGCGACAACCCUGAGCCCUUCUCGCUCGCCGAAGUGAAGGUGGCAUUGGCCCACAUGCAAGACGACAACCAGAUCAUGGUGUCUGACGACAUCAUCUUCCUAAUCUGAGCCUCUAAGAGCCCAAAUUCUCAUGGGGCUUUUCAAUCUGGAAACUCGUUGUGUUUACCUUCACCUCUCUCCUGAAUGCUUCAUCAUCAUCUGGCUGAGCUGGACUUUGGGAAGCACUUUGCAUUGCUGGCACUGAAGGAGCCAGGAAAAGUGGAAGCUCUCUCCUUUGCCAAACUGGAGUAUUAGGGAAGAAGUUUGGUUCUGCGAGUAGUCAAAGGGAAGAAUGUGUGUGCAAGUUACUGAUCUGCUUGAUGUGCUUUUAGCUCUGACCUGGGUUAUGUGCAAGCUCAGGUUGGUUUUACUCAAAACUAGUUUGUUUUCAUGCUGCAGGGCUCCCAGUUGCUUCCCAGGCUGGGAGGAGCCUCUUCCCUCCCAGCUUUUCUUACUGUUUAAUUAAAAGAAAAACAUGGGUUUAAGCAUUCAACAGCAGUGCUUGUAAGAAGCAAACAUAGGGGGGAGAAAGGAAGGGAUGGGGGGGAAGUUGGGGAUGGGAUUUUCCUACAGUUCAGCACGCCCCCAUGGCCAGGGAGGGUUUUCAAGAAGAGCUGAAAUCACAGGUUAACCUGCAGCCAGAGCUGGUGAAGGCUUGGGAUGUUAAAAUUCCAUUAUUUUAUGGUUUUUUAUUUUGGUGAAUUUGAGGUUAAGCUUUGGGGGAGGCCCUGAGCAGCACAGGCUCCUUCUUUUGUCCUUGCCAGGAUGUCUGCACCACUCAAGUGCCCUUAUGUGUGUCGGUGAUACCAUCCAUGUUAACUUGCAUAAUAAAACAUCUGAUACCAUU